This 76-nucleotide transfer RNA is filed under the name Acidobacteriota bacterium. RNAcentral describes it as "Acidobacteria bacterium (activated sludge metagenome) tRNA-Ile". It matches the Rfam family "tRNA". From Rfam's summary of the family: Transfer RNA (tRNA) molecules are approximately 80 nucleotides in length. Their secondary structure includes four short double-helical elements and three loops (D, anti-codon, and T loops). Lineage: Bacteria; Pseudomonadati; Acidobacteriota. RNAcentral also lists the same sequence under 8 other names. The record is from RNAcentral.
GGGCCUGUAGCUCAGCGGUUAGAGCAGCGGACUCAUAAUCCGUUGGUCCCAGGUUCAAAUCCUGGCGGGCCCACCA